UCCCUGGAGCUCAUCUAGAUCCCUCUAGCCAAUCUAACCAGUUGGAGAGUGCAGUCAACCAAGUGAGACUCUGUGUCCAAAACUCAGGCGAGAGUGAUAGAAGAAGACAUGAGAUGUCCCCUUGCUCUUCUACAGUGAUAGAGGAAGAUAUGAGAUGUCCCUUUGCUCUCCUGCAGUGAUAGAGGAAGAUAUGAGAUAUCCCUUUGCUCUCCUACAGUGAUAGAGGAAGAUAUGAGAUGUCCCUUUGCUCUCCUGCAGUGAGGACCCAAGGCUAUGGAUUCAGGGCAGUUCUUACCCAGGGAUGGGCUCCUGAACCUGACUGAAGGCUGGGGUUCCUUCUGGAUGAUCAGUAGUGUGGACUUCAAAUCACUGAUGAGGUAUUUUAUGAAUACUCCAUACACAAGAAGGAAUAGCUGCUGAAGGUUUUGGAGCUUCCACUGGGUCUCCACAGAGAAGGUGGAAGAGGAGGGAACUAUGUUCCAGAUACAGGUAAGUGUGGGGAGCAGGAUUGUCCCUUAGACCCUUGGGGUGGACCUGGAGUAUUUGCAGACCUCUGUCACCAAUAUUAGCUCCUCCAGCAAAAUCUUGUAGGGGCCAUGUUUUUACCUUCCAAUGCCUGUGUGUGUGUGUGUGUGUGUGUGUGUGUGUGUGUGUGUGUGUGUGUGUGUGUAUUCAGUGACAGUUACCAGAGGUCAGAUAUGUGUCUCCCAGACUGAAGGGGAUUCUGGUAUCUAAUUGCGGGUGGCAAAGCAGACAUGUUUGUGUCUCAGAGACUCCCAGAAUUUCCUGUGAGUGAGUAGUAGAUUGUUGGGAUGUUGUCUUCACAGUGAUUAUUCAUGAUUCUUGUUUGUAGCGUGGAAGACAGCUGACUUGUGUGGACAGAAUGACAGACAGUGUGUUCAGGCCUCUGCUGUGACAUCCAGGGCCCCUAGGUUCACUUUUAGCAACAGUGUCUGAUGUUCCCUGUGAUCCUAUGGGCUGAAUAUGAAGAACUGGGAGCCCAGCCCAGCCCUGGACAUCAGGACCCUGUCCCUGCACUGCCUGUGUUCUCUUCCAUGGCCAGCCCUCCUGUUCCAGCAGACAGGAGGGGACACAUUAUCCUGUUACCUCUUCCUGCUCUGAGCUUCAGGUCCCAACUUCCGCACUGAAACUAAGGAUCUCAAUUUGAAUUUGAUUGUUCACAUCCUUGAGCUGACAGGCUGAUAGCUGUUAAAUGUAUUAUUGAGAUACUUAGAAUUUGAGGAGGAAGUGAAUGGCAGCGUGGAGAACCUCCCAGAAAUGUGCGCAUCAUGUUCUGUGUCUCUGGUGUCACAGGAUGAGGCUGUGGGAGCUGAGUGAGAGCAGGGUUGUGCCCAGGCGCAGCUCAAUUUGAUAUUGGCUGUGACAUGGUCAGUCCUCAGCUCUGUCACCUCCUGGCUCUGUUCUCCUCAUCACUUAGAACCACAUGAUGAGAUCUGUGAUCACAGAGAAACAGGGAUGGCCAGAGUCCUGUUCUGUCCCAGGAGUGUGAGCAGCCAGGACUGGUGGGACAGAUCACGCUGGGCUCUGACCUGGCUGUAGCUCUUUACCCCAUUUUCGCUGUUUAUUGUUGUCUUUUUACUUUUUAUGGAGCACUAGGCUUGUUCUUGUUCCUGUAAGUAGAGCCUGCCUCCUUAUCACUUGUGCCCCCUGAGUGACAGCAUUAAAAUGUGUUUAUCCUUCCUUUCCCAUUAGAACCCUUCUAGGCCCCUGCACUCAGGAGACUGUGACCUAAGAACAUGAACUUCAAUCUGAGCUCCUGCCUCCCUCCAGGCCCCUCCCUGGUUCUCUCCUUUCCCAUCAUUUAGAAUUUAACCAUAGUUGUAGGAUGGCAGAGAGGAGGGAUCCACAGGGUCUCAUCUCAGAUCUGUCCUGUUGGAUCUGUACUCUGCCCAUGGUCCUCUCUCCCUCUCUGGCUCUGGGAAUCCUGGUGCUGCCUCCAGUGGUGACUCCAGGAUUUACAGGCUGAGUCUACUUUAGAUUUGUGUUUAUUUAAAAGAUAUGAUCUGUUUUGUCUUGUUGACUGUGCCCUUUGCCUUACAGAAGCUUCUCAGUUUCAGGAGAUCCCAUUUAUUAAUUGUUGAUCUCA
Molecule: long non-coding RNA, 2107 nt
Organism: Mesocricetus auratus (golden hamster)
Lineage: Eukaryota; Metazoa; Chordata; Mammalia; Rodentia; Cricetidae
Exons: 3
Source: RefSeq, a predicted model, not a curated record